This 561-nucleotide ribosomal RNA is filed under the name Nycticorax nycticorax (black-crowned night-heron). RNAcentral describes it as "partial large subunit ribosomal RNA". It matches the Rfam family "Bacterial large subunit ribosomal RNA", at positions 1817 to 2597 of the family's 2925-position model. The record is from RNAcentral. Lineage: Eukaryota; Metazoa; Chordata; Aves; Pelecaniformes; Ardeidae.
AGCCUUCAGCCAGCCAAGUAUUGAAGGUGAUGCCUGCCCAGUGACAUAUGUUCAACGGCCGCGGUAUCCUAACCGUGCGAAGGUAGCGCAAUCAAUUGUCCCAUAAAUCGAGACUUGUAUGAACGGCUAAACGAGGUCCUAACUGUCUCUUACAGAUAAUCAGUGAAAUUGAUCUCCCUGUGAAAAAGCAGGAAUGAAUCCAUAAGACGAGAAGACCCUGUGGAACUUUAAAAUCAGCAGCCACCCCACAAACAACCAUAAGCCUGCUAGGCUCACUACCCAAAAACAUUGGCCUGCAUUUUUCGGUUGGGGCGACCUUGGAGAAAAGCAAAUCCUCCAAAAAUAAGACCACACCUCUUAACCAAGAGCAACACCUCUACGUACUAAUAGUAACCAGACCCAAUACAAUUGAUUAAUGAACCAAGCUACCCCAGGGAUAACAGCGCAAUCUCCUUCGAGAGCCCAUAUCGACAAGGAGGUUUACGACCUCGAUGUUGGAUCAGGACAUCCUAAUGGUGCAGCCGCUAUUAAGGGUUCGUUUGUUCAACGAUUAACAGUCCU